UCAUGUAACGUUUGAGAAAUGGACAUUCCAACUGGGCCACAUAAGGCUCGCAAAAUAAAAAACCAGCGUCUCGUGAUUUCUGUUUUGAACAGGAAGAUGCAAGCACCGCCCUUGAACCGAGGGCCAACGAAUACAGCAAAAGACAAAAACUCUGGCCGUCGGAGACAGAAGAGGAUGGCAGCGGACUGGUCCGGGGUUGGCAGGACAGAUGAAUUUUGAAAACGGAAGAAGACCUCACGCAAUGCAAGGUCCGGCGGCGCAGGAAGAGAGGGAGCACAUCACUUCGUUCAGGCCGGGCGAUAAGCGAGAAGCUUCAUUGAAACUCGACGGCAAGAUGCCUUCAACAGGGGCGACAAUGGAAGAAUAUGCUGUGGGCAUCGCAGCAAGCAUUUUAGAAGAACUGAUGGCGACAGAUACCAACCGGCGAAGACCUCUUCAAUGUCAGCAAGUUCGGGCAUCAAGCAACAACGGUGAUGCAGGCUACGACGGCGCUGCGGGCGGAAACAGAGGCGCAGGUGACGACGGCAUGGAAGGCAAGUACCACGACACAGGCGCGGGCGAGGUUGCGGCCGACGAUAGUGACGCAGGCGACGUCGACGUGGAAGGCGAAGGCAACGAAGUGGACGACGGCAGCGUGAAUCACAUGCUUCAUAGACAAAUCCGUGUAAUUUGAAAUAAAAAAUUCGGGCCGGGUUGGAAUUGAAGCUCCGUUUCUCUUUAGAUCUAGACCGGCUUGGCGGUUUGGAUCGUGACAAAAAAAAAAAGCUUUAAUUAAGACUAUUAAACUGUCAUAGGUCUCUUGAAAGCGCCGGGUUGAUGAUGGCUUCCCAGCCUAUUUUUUUUCAAGAAUACUUUAAUAAUUAAAUACUAUUAAACUGUCAUAGGUGUAAAGAGUGCCAGGAAACUAUGGAGCACGUUUUACGUGACUGUCCUGCAGUUUCAACCAUCUGGAACCGUUUAAGUGUAAAGAGUGUGACACCUGGUAUAAAUCACCAUCAGUUACAAGGUGUAAAGAGUGUGACACCUAGUAUAAAUCACCAUCAGAGGAUAGGAUACUUCCCCUAAGACAAAAGCAUCCAUAUGAAUCUGAACCCCUUUUCUUCUGUGUCUUUUUUACGAGACAAUGAUACAUGUCAACCUAAAAAGAAAACCGUGACGACCUUGAAUGUUGCAAUAGUUUGGAAGUUAAUUAUUUUCUUUUCUAUUCUCUUUUCUAUUCAAAUUAUUAGUCAAAUCAUUGUCAAUGGCUCUCACCAAGUAUUCCUCUUUGAAUAGUUGCUUCAAAGAGAAUUCAAUGGAGGUCAUAUUCAAAGGUUCACACAACAUUGGAGUUGCCAUGGCUACUCCAAAUGGUCUAGUUGUACCAAAUAUAAAGAAUGUCCAAUCUCUUUCAAUCAUCCAGUUAGCAGGAAAAAAGAAGUCUUCGUUAGAUUGAAAACCUCUCCCAAAUGGAUGGGUUAAAGUUAAUAAUGAUGGUGCCUCCAAGGGAACCCGGGUAGUAGAGGUCUAAUUCGAGAUGAGAGUGGAAGAUGGCUUGCAUAACAUAAGUACGUGUAUCAAAACAUUGGAUUUCCGUUUGAAUUUUAAAUUUCUAAUUUCUUUGUGAGUGUGUAUAAAUCUUUCUCAUCUCAUAAGAAUUUGUUAGAAAUGCAUAGCUCAAAAAAAAAUUCUCUCAUCAAAAUCUUAUUCAUUCAUCAAGAUCUUAUUAAUCUUUUUCAUUAUCAUCAUGGACGGUUUUUCAAUGGUUAGACUUAGUAGAAAUAAUUUGACUCCAAUACAUAAGUGGAAGAAAUACAAUUUUUUUUCUUUUCAAUGCAAAGAACUCUAUCAAUCUCUUAAAUUCAAUUCAACAACUUUAUUUUUGCCUCAGAUAUUGAAAAACUCUUUGGUUAGUUCCUGGCCUUAUUUGUUGGCUUAUUCUAAUGAUAGAUUCAACUCUUAGUCUUAUUAUUUAGUGUUCAAUAUCUCUUCCUAGCUAAUUAUAUAUCAGAUCUCUCUUAUUGGCAUGUUUUUUUUGCUAACUUUUCUUUUCGCAACAGUAUUUGCUGAAUCAACACAGUUGAUUAUGUUGGUAGAAUAAGAAAUUUUUUUGUCUCAUAGUAAAGUAACUGUUGGAAUCGCAACUAGUUACAAGGUUUGAGUGCUAAGAUUUAUACUAAUGUUGUUGAUGUUUUUCCACCAUUAAAUGCUCCACCCUUAUUCUUUUGUGGUGAAAAAACAUCAACAACAUUAAUAUAAACCACUCAAAUUUUGGCAACAAGUUGCUAUUUUAAUAGUUACUUUAACUAUGAGACAAAAAAAAUUUUCUUAUUGUAACAACAUAAUAAAUUAUGUUGAUCCAACAAAUACUGUUGCCAGAAGAAAAGUUAGCAAAAAAACAUGCUAAUAAGAGAGAUUUGAAAUAUAGUUAAUUAGGAAGAGAUAUUAAACACCAUAAUCAAUGAGACUAAGAGUUGAAUCUAUCAUUAAGACAAGCCAAGAAAUAAGGCCAAAGAACCAACUAAAGAGUUUUUCAGCAUCUGAGACAAAAAUAAGGUGGUUGAGUUAGAUUUGGAAGAUUGAUAGAAGUUCUUUGAAUACGCUGAAAAAUUUGUAUUUGUUCCACUUAUAGAUUGGAGCCAAAUUAUUACUAUUAAGCUUAACCAUUGAAGAGUCGUUGACGAUGAUAAUGAAAAAAAAUUAAUAGGAUUUUAACGAAAAAAUAAGAUUUUGAUGAGAGAUUUUUUUUAAUUUUUUGUGCUAUGCACUUCUAAUAAGUUUUUAUGAAAUUAGAAAGAUUUAUAUACACUCACAAAGAGAUUAGAAAUUUAGAGUUCAAAUAGAAAUUCAAAGUUGAAAUAGAAAUUAGGCGAUUGACAAUGUACAUGAUGUAUGAAAAAAUUAAGCAAUUCAAACGAAAAUUCUUGAAUUGGGCCUAAAAUUAGGCAAUGUACAAUUGUACAUAAUG
Arachis stenosperma is the source of this 2947-nucleotide long non-coding RNA. RefSeq lists it as uncharacterized. NCBI's taxonomy places the organism in Eukaryota, Viridiplantae, Streptophyta, Magnoliopsida, Fabales, Fabaceae. The transcript is spliced from 3 exons. The record is from RefSeq and is a predicted model, not a curated record.